UAUCUCUGUAGAGUCUGCAUAUCAAUAAGCGGAGGAAAAGAAACUAACAAGGAUUCCCUUAGUAACGGCGAGUGAAGCGGGAAGAGCUCAAAUUUGAAAUCUUCAAGGUUCUACCUUGACGAAUUGUAGUUUAAAGAAGUGUUUUCUGUUAGAUGAGUAGCAAAAGUUCCUUGGAAUGGGACAUCAUAGAGGGUGAGAAUCCCGUAUUUGGUUAUUCAUUCUAGCUUUGUGAUACACUUUCAAAGAGUCGGAUUGUUUGGGAAUGCAGUCCAAAAUGGGUGGUAAAUUUCAUCUAAAGCUAAAUAUUGGCGAGAGACCGAUAGCGAACAAGUACCGUGAGGGAAGGAUGAAAAGAACUUUGAAAAGAGAGUUAAACAGUACGUGAAAUUGUCAAAAGGGAAGCGUUUGACACCAGUGUUGUUUUUCCGAAAAUCAAUUACGAAUGGCUUGAUUUUGUGUUGUAUUGACCUUAUCAGCUUUCUUCACUUUUUUCGAGUCUUUCUUAAUGCACUUUUCGGUUAACAAGUCAACAUCAAUUUCUUUUGUUGUAAAAGAGUAUUCGGAAGGUGGCUUUCUUUUCGGAGAAAGUGUUUAUAGCCCUAUACUUCUACAAUCGGAGAGAUUGAGGUCUGCAGCGUAGAUCCUUCGGGGUUAGAUACACUUGUGCUAAGUUGUAGCUUUUCAUAGACAACUUGUUGACUAUGUUUAGUCAUGCGGCUUACUCGCUUGUGCUAUUUUACCUACGCUUAGGAUGUUGACUGAUAUGUAGUCGUA
RNAcentral lists this ribosomal RNA (774 nucleotides) under uncultured Neocallimastigales. Its description in RNAcentral is "partial large subunit ribosomal RNA". It matches the Rfam family "Eukaryotic large subunit ribosomal RNA", at positions 24 to 644 of the family's 3401-position model. The record is from RNAcentral. Lineage: Eukaryota; Fungi; Neocallimastigomycota; Neocallimastigomycetes; Neocallimastigales.